AACCUUGUCAUCUCAACCAAGAAUAUUCAAAAGACCGCCCAAAGGGGCAAAUGCUAGAACAAGUACAUGGCCUUAAGGCAUUAGUUAAGAACUAAAUGCCACAAGGGUAGAUAAUAAGGACAGGUCAAAAAAUGAAAACCCUAUAAAAGGACCCUCAAGAAACUCAGAAUGACAUAACCAAGGACAAGAACCUAGAGACAAGGUAAGAAAAAUGAAUUUUGGGGGACAAAGGGGAGAAUUUGUAAGACCCCAAGUAAGGUUAAGACACUCGAGUAGGUUAAAGUUGUAAGAGACCCAAGGAAAGUUAAGGAGACCCAAAAAAGAUAUUCUCAAUGACCUUGCAAAGUUUGAUAGGGAUGGAAAAGGUUUGGAAAAGAAAUAGUUAACUUAAAAGGUAAAAAGGUUGUAACACCAAGAAAAGAACUUAUAGACCCUAAGAACCCGCCUUGUACAAGAAGGAACAAAAGGAACCUCUAAGAUAUAACCUUGAAGGAACCAUGUUCAUUAUGUCAAGGUUUGUUGAACAUAAAGAAUAAGAUAAGCUCUAAGAUAUAAGUAACAAACGAAUGACCAAGGAAGACUUGUUAAUCUCAAUAAAAGAUAUUGAGAAGACAGACAAAGGGGGCAAAUGGCUUAAGGCUUAAGUUGGCAAAUUAUAAAGAUAUGUGGGAGAAGUUCAAACCUAUAAAAGGACCUUCAAGAAACUUGGAAGGAUAUACUAAAGGCCACACGGGCAAAUUAUAAGGAUAUGUUGGAGAAGUUCAAACCUAUAAAAGGACCCUCAAGAAACUUGGAAGGACAUAAGUGAGGGCAAGUCACAAAAAAAGAAAAAAAAUAUGUCAAUUUUCCAAUUUUAGGUAAACUUCUCGAACUUUUAAUUUCUUAUGGGAAGAAAUUUCAAGAUGCUCGAAGGGAAAAAUGAAGGGGAAAAUGAAUAGAUUUGGAUAGUGUUUGGAUUUUUCGAAUAAAAAAUUCAAAAUGUGAAAAAUUACCAAAAUACCCUAAACUUCCAAUUAUUUACAAAAAUGCCCCUGACUAGAAAUCUUUCCAGAUUGGUUUACAGCCGGGGUCAUCUGGACAAAAUCUUUCAUAUCUCAAGAUUCAAUUAUUGAAUUUGUUCCAAAUAUGGAUAUGAUCUGGAAGACUCAUGUUCAAAUCUAACGACUGGUGUUGAAAAAUGACGUUGGAAACAUCCUCAUCGAAGUAGAUUUUUCCAAUGGACCUUCCUUUAGUUUCAAGUUUAAAAUCAGCACUAUUUUGUAUGUUUCUAGUUCGUUGCAAGCUUCAUCCACAAAUGGUAAAAUGUGGGCAACGUUUAGGGAUAAGAGUGGAGGCUCGAGAGUAGAAGGAACCUCUAAAAGACCCUUAGAACCCCCCUUGUACAAAAAGAAACAAAAAGAAGAACAAGGUAAAUGGAAUAGGUGUUUGUUGAACUCGGCUCGGUCUCUCUUUGCUUUCCUUUGACUCUAAGAUACAAUCUUGAAGGAACAAUAUCGAUUAUGUCAAGACUUGUUGACCAUAAAAAGAUAAGCUCUAGGAUAUAAGGAAACUUCGGCCAAGGAAGACUAUUUAAUCUCAACAAUAAAUUAUCACGAUAGAAAUAUGGGUGUGCAAGAUGUAUACUACGUCAGCUACCUUGUGUUAAAGUCAUGGCUUGGUCAUCUGAUGAAGGGAAAGAGCUCCAAUAGAAUUUGAAAACCUUAAGAGAUGCUUUUUGCACCAUUUUCUAUUGAACCUACGACAUUAUAAUUUCAUUCGUUUCAUUUAAAACAGGUUUUUCUUAUUUUCCUUGGUUAGGUAAAAAUACUAAUUUCAGGCACGACUUUUGUUUUGUCUUUAUUAUAUUUUACAUUUUA
Long non-coding RNA from Cucurbita maxima (winter squash), 1856 nucleotides. RefSeq lists it as uncharacterized. The record is from RefSeq and is a predicted model, not a curated record. Lineage: Eukaryota; Viridiplantae; Streptophyta; Magnoliopsida; Cucurbitales; Cucurbitaceae. The transcript has 2 exons.